This 460-nucleotide ribosomal RNA is filed under the name uncultured bacterium. RNAcentral's name for it is "partial 16S ribosomal RNA". It matches the Rfam family "Bacterial small subunit ribosomal RNA", at positions 338 to 795 of the family's 1533-position model. The record is from RNAcentral.
CCUACGGGUGGCAGCAGUGAGGAAUAUUGGUCAAUGGACGAGAGUCUGAACCAGCCAAGUAGCGUGAAGGAUGACUGCCCUCUGGGUUGUAAACUUCUUUUAUAAAGGACUAAAACGAGGCCCGUGUGCCUUUUUUCAUGUACUUUAUGACUAAGGAUCGGCUAACUCCGUUCCAGCAGCCGCGGUAAUACGGAGGAUCCGAGAGUUAUCCGGAUUUCUUGGGUUUCAAGGGAGCGUAGAUGGGUUGAUAAGUCAGUUGUGAAAGUUUGCGGCUCAACCGUAGAAUUGCAAUUGAUACUGGCAGUCUUGAGUACAGGUGAGGUAGGCGGAAUUCGUGGUGUAGCGGUGAAAUGCUUAGAUAUCACGAAGAACCCCGAUUGCGAAGGCAGCUUACUAAACUGUGACUGACAUUGAUGCUCGAAAGUGUGGGUAUCAAACAGGAUUAGAUACCCGAGUAGUC